Molecule: transfer RNA, 77 nt
Filed under: Proteobacteria bacterium CAG:495
Lineage: Bacteria; Pseudomonadati; Pseudomonadota
Also listed under: 2 other names
Description: transfer RNA-Arg(ACG)
Rfam family: tRNA
About the family: Transfer RNA (tRNA) molecules are approximately 80 nucleotides in length. Their secondary structure includes four short double-helical elements and three loops (D, anti-codon, and T loops).
Source: RNAcentral
GCACCCGUAGCUCAAUUGGAUAGAGCAUCUGACUACGGAUCAGAAGGUUGUGAGUUCGAAUCCCGCCGGGUGCGCCA